Molecule: ribosomal RNA, 499 nt
Filed under: uncultured bacterium
Lineage: Bacteria
Description: bacterial SSU rRNA
Rfam family: Bacterial small subunit ribosomal RNA
Source: RNAcentral
GAUGAACGCUAGCGGCAGGCUUAAUACAUGCAAGUCGAGGGGCAGCACGGUUAGCAAUAACUGGUGGCGACCGGCGCACGGGUGCGUAACACGUAUACAAUCUACCUUAAACAGGGGAUAGCCUUUCGAAAGAGAGAUUAAUACCCCGUAAUAAAUUGAACGGCAUCGUUUGAUUUUGAAAGCUCCGGCGGUUUGAGAUGAGUAUGCGUCUGAUUAGCUAGUUGGGGAGGUAACGGCUCACCAAGGCGACGAUCAGUAGGGGAUCUGAGAGGACUAACCCCCACACUGGUACUGAGACACGGACCAGACUCCUACGGGAGGCAGCAGUAAGGAAUAUUGGUCAAUGGAGGCAACUCUGAACCAGCCAUGCCGCGUGCAGGAUGACGGCCCUAUGGGUUGUAAACUGCUUUUAUACAAGAGAAAACCCUGGUACGUGUACCAGGUUGAUAGUAUUGUAAGAAUAAGCAUCGGCUAACUUCGUGCCAGCAGCCGCGGUAAU